Non-coding RNA from Microcebus murinus (gray mouse lemur), 571 nucleotides. The record is from RefSeq and is a predicted model, not a curated record. Lineage: Eukaryota; Metazoa; Chordata; Mammalia; Primates; Cheirogaleidae.
GUUAGCGUGUUACUUAUGCAACCAGGAGCUCCCAGAUUCGUCAUCAGAAUUAUUUAUUCCCCGGAGGUGGAGGCAGCAGUCAACCGCCCGGUCAAUUUGCAUCUGCAGGCCUCCCACACCUACCUCUCUCUGGGCUACUAUUUCGAUCGCGACGAUGUGGCUCUGGAAGGCAUGGGCCACUUUUCCCGCGAAUUGGCUGAUGACAAGCGCGAGGGCGCAGAGCAUCUCUUGAAGAUGCAAAAACCAGCGAGGCGGGCGCGCUCUCUUCCAGGACGAGAGAAGAUGAGUGGGGUCCCACCCAGGACGCAAUGGAAGCCCCCGUGGCCCUGGAGAAGAGCCCGAACCAGGCUCUUCUGGAUCUUCAUGCCCUGGGUUGUACCCGCACAGACCCCCAUCCCUGUGACUUCCUGGAGAAUCACUUCCUAGAUGAGGAAGUGAAACUCAUCAAGAAGAUGGGCGACCACCUGACCAACCUCCGCAGGCUGGCCGGCCCCCAGGCUGGGCUGGGCGACCAAGUCUUCGAAAGGCUCACUCUCAAGGCCGCCAAGCCCAGCGACCACUGAGGAGCCCC